GUAUUGUAAGAAAGGAAAAGAUUAGCAUUCCCCUUGACAAGGAUGGAAGAGGCCUUUGAACUUGACAUCCACAUACAAUUAAGGCAUUGCCACUUACUUCGUGGCAUCUGACCAUUGUUUUUA
Small nuclear RNA from Otolemur garnettii (small-eared galago), 123 nucleotides. NCBI's taxonomy places the organism in Eukaryota, Metazoa, Chordata, Mammalia, Primates, Galagidae. The record is from Ensembl.